AGACCCGGUGGCGGGCAGACACAGGCUGGUGGCGGGCAGAUACAGGCCCAGCACCAGUGGUACUGCCUGAGCUAUAGCUCUGUGUCAGGUGAGCUGUAGCUCUGUGUCAGGCCCAGGCUAACAGUUGCCAUGUGUUACCUCCCCAGGUCUGCACAGUGUCCCCGUGAGGUUGGCACCAUUACUGUCCCAUUUCUGGAAUGGGAAGAUUAAGGCUGAGUGAUGUUAAGUAACUUGCCCAAGGACACAGCCCUAGGAAGUAAUGCAGCCACGACACGGACUCCACAGCCCAUGGUUUUGACCCAGUACCGUCCACCAUCUCUUGGCAUCACAGUGAGGAACAGGCCCCGUGGAAGUGGCACACAGGGUCUGUGGAGCAUGAGGAGGGCAGGCAGCCCAGCCUGGGUUCAGAGCCAGCUCCUGGGGCAGCUCCACUGGAGAGUCUCGUGACGUCACUGCUAGCUGAGCCAUAGCGCGUCCCCCAUGCCCACCUGGCUGCCCACUCCCAGGCAGGCCUCGAUGCCCUGCGUGUCAAGCACUUGCUGUAUUCCAGACAGCAGGCGGGGAGGAGGGCACACAGAGCGGGCGUGAGUCCCCUGCCUUGCAGGAGGCCACAGCCCUGCCCAGCACAGACCCGAGGCUCCUGUGGGCCUCUCUGAACACCCCCAAAGCGCCGGCCGCUCCAAGCUCUCUGCUCCUCAGCCUCACACCCGGGCUCGCCUGGCCAAGUUCUGGAGGCUUACAACAGGCUGUGCUUUCAUGGUCUCAGCUGGGGAGUCUUGGAUGGGAGCAAACCCUCGCCCACAUUUGGAGCCCCCCACACCUGGCCCGUGCUCCUCAGCACUGUGCCCCCCAGCUAGCGGCUCUUCCUCCCCACGCUCUGGCUUGGCCGCCAUCUUUCAGCGGCCUCUUCAGGCUCAGCUGCCGCAGCAACCUGAAAAAAGGGAGCAUGUUCUAAUUAACACUGAGAGGCUCAUUAGAGAGACGGAGGCCCCCGCGGCCCCUGCCGCUGCUGCUUCUGGCAGAAGCUGAGAAAUUGCUCUCUCGGGAGGAGGCGAGGCCAUCAUUCCUCCUGAUUUCUGGGGUUUAGAGGGAAGUGGGCAGAGCUGCUCCCUGGCCAGCGGGCUCAGAGACCCCUCCUUCCCUGGGGCUGCCUCCCUGCCACACCUCUCUCUGCUCUCUGACCUGGCCCUGGUUCAGAAUGGGACUGGGGUAGAUGGGAGGGCCUGGCUGUCGUGAAUGGAGCUGACCUAGGCCAUUAAUGAGUCCCCAGGUCCUGCCAGGAUGCUGGGGGUGGGAGGAAGGAGGGAGUCCUGGGUUCCAAGCCCAGGCCUGAACAAGAGUCCGGAUUUUGAUUUCCCUGGGGUCACAGGAGAGAAUUCAGUUUAGUUCUUGUCUGCAAACAGCCUCAACCACAGGCCUGGCACAGCACUGGGCACAAGGGAUGCAGAGACAGCUGUCUUGCCUGUGAUGGACAGUCCGCGGUGAGAGCUCUGAGCAGGGGGUGGCACUGAGCAUUGAGGGUGGGGAGGAAGGUGUAGGGACAGUGCAGGUUGUGGGUGUAGCAGGCCCAAGUCUGGGAUCAGUGGGGGUUGGUUGUUAAAUGGGUUAGGACACAUGAUGGUGAGCCCAGAACUGAAUUCCAGUGUUACUCAGGGAGCAGUUGCUCCAUGCCGGUUAAGGUGCUGGGUGCUGGACAGGAUGACUAAGACAUAUUUGAUGCCGUGAAUAACUUAUGCUCUGUUGGAGCCUGGGGGAGGGAAAGGGAGGGAAGGAUGGGUUGGAGAAAUGCCACAAAGAUUAGUGCCAAAGACUGAGUGCCAAAGAGAAGUUGAGGCCCGAGGCAGGGAGACCCCGUCUGUUCGGGGCAUUGAGAGGGCUGCACGGAGGAGGCACAUUUGAGAUAGGUCUCGAAAAAGAGGACAUUUCUACCUGGACGAAAGGGGAGGCUGGGAGUUGAGGUUGGGGAGAGCAUUGCAGGCUGGGAGAGAACGCAGAUGAGUGCCCAAGACUCGUGGGGGCAGCCGGGGAGAGCAGGCAGGAGCUGCUGAGCAAUGUGGACUUUGUGGCCCUGCCAGAUUGUUAGGGCUGGAAAACCAGGAAGAAGCGUUUGUAUCUGUUUGGGGCAAUGGUUGUCAAACAAAGAGAAGCCAGGUUGCUGCUGUCUGAGAGCUUGGGUCUGGUUCUGCAGUGUGAGGUGAUGGUGGGAGUAAGAAGAACACAGAGGUAGUAAGGAUGCUGCGGACGUCGUCCAGGUGGGAAGACAGAGAGCCCUAUGUGGUGACAUUCUGGAAGGAAGAUGGGUGAUUGCAAAAGGUCUAGGGGUGGGGGCCCAGGAGCUACAGUCGGCUGACAGACACAGUGGACAGGACAAACAAAAACCCCAGGACAAGGCGAGUUUCCCAGGCUGGGUGCUGGUCAGGCCAAUAAGGAAGUCAACAAGAGCUGGUUUGGGUGAGGUAGGGAAAACAGUCUAGAUGGACAGAGGAUCCACAAGCUGUUGGAAAUGUGAGUCUAGGAUCAAGGCUAGGAAUGGAGACUUGAGAGUCGUUCCCAUCAUUAUCACUGUCACCAUGAAGCAGUUACCACUUAGUAAGCUGCUGCUCUGUGCUGGGUGCUACAUGAAAUAAUUUCAUCCUCACGAGAAGAUACAGGGUCAGCAAGAUAAGCCCUACUUAAUAGAUGUGAAAACUGAAAGUCAAAGAUGUUAAAUUCAUCCAAGGCCAAUCAGCAGGGAUCUGGGGCUGGCCAUUCCCCUUAUUUGCCACUUGGCUCACCGGCCCGUCAAAGUAGAGUGAAGUUAAGAGAAUGCACUGGGUCCUCAGAGGGAAGGCAGACGGGGCUGAGAAGGUGUCAACCUGGGGAGCCUGUUUAGAGUGACCCGGAAGGCUCUGCCUGACACAGCUCUCCUCUUAAUUCAUUGUUAAUUAUCACCUGUCACGGGCUCCUCUGAUGAUGUCCAACACAGAAGCUAUGGAGAAUGUCCAGAGUGUACGAGGAAAGUUAAAACGUGUGUGGAGACUGGCAGCGGCACCCAUGUGACUCGUAACCAGCGCACGUAGGGGUUCUGUGGCCAGAAUACAGGAUUAAGGGGUUGUAGGGAGACAGGACAACCAGGAUAGGCUGAGUAAUAAGCACUGGGGAGAGCUGCAGUAAGGAGCGGGGAGGGAGGCUGAGGAGGCCCUUGGGCUGAGUGACAAGCCCCAGAUCUGCCUCUUCCCUGCUGAUGGGCCUUGGAUGAGUUUAACAUCUUUCGCCCUUGACUGAGACGGGAGGCAGCAGGAGCCAGAGCACAAGGCUCAGGGCAGGGUUGGGUCAGUAUCUGGCAUUUGCUCCUGGAGUGAGGCAGAGGCUAGUGCUCCUAGAGGUUCAGUGGAAAAUAGGAAUAAAGGGAAUAGGCUAGUGCCCCAGAGGCAGUGGAGUCAGCAGAGUUACGUUGUAGCCUGGGGAGAUCUGGAAAGAUCUGUGGCCAGGUGCAAAGCUGCAGAUAGAAGGAAGGAAAUAGGAGUAAAAAGAGCACCUGUGGGGUGAGCUGAACACACAAAGGAGGCGGGAGGGGGAGAGCAUCUGCUGUGGGUCAGAUUAGGAAGGUUUUUGAGAGUCACAAAUAUAACUUUGGAAUUAAUUUGUCCAAUACAUACUCAUUGAAGACCUACUAUGUGCUGGGCACUGUCCAAGCGUUGGAGGAGACAGCAGUGACCAUGGAGGGCAAAAUCUGCCCUCGUGGGGUUUGAUGUCUAGUGGAGGAUGUGAUGGGACAGAUUCAAGAAUGUAAAAUCUGGUUUUCUUUCCUGCUUGGGUGAAGUAUAGACAUCGCCCAGUAGUAGACGGAGUCUCCUAGGGUUAUAUCAGCUAGUCUUCUGCCUUCAAGCAGGAUGACACCAUGCCAAGGGCCCGGACCCCAUCACCGUUUUGGGAGCAUCUCGAGCAAUGGAUUUCAUACCUUCCCUGUGUUGCCAAUAGCAUCUCGUGCUGCAGAAGAAUGUUCUUGGGCCUGGGGUUUCCCUAGAAGUACAAAUAGGCCAGAUGAGAAAGAAAUGUGAAAUCUGGCCGGGUGCAGCGGCUCACACCUGUAAUCCCAGCACUUUGGGAGGCCGAGGCGGGCGGAUCACCCAGGCGCCAGGAGUUCAAGACCAGCCUGGCCAGCAUGGCAGAACCCCGUGUCUACUAAAAAAAAAAAUACAAAAGUUAGCCAGGCACAGUGGCGCACACCUGUAAUCUCAGCUACUCUGGAGGCUGAGGCAGGAGAAUCGCUUGAACCCAGGAGGCGGAGGUUAUGGUGAGCUGAGAUUGUGCCACUGCACUCUAGCCUGGGUGACAGAGCGGGACUCCAUCUCAAAAAAAAAAAAGAAAUGGGAAAUCUGUCGGUUUCUCGUGGUGCUUGAGUAAGGUUGACAGAGAUUGAGAGAAAAGGAGCCAGUUUAGUGCUCAGUCCCCUUCCUCUCUACAUUUCCCCUGGGGGAGGACUUUCCUGCCUGAGCCAAAGCCAAGUCCCUAUUCCAGGCCUCAGGAAAUGUGUCCAAAUUCAGCAGGGAGAGUGAGCCAGGCUACAGUAUUUCUGCAGGGGCAGGAACAGAAUGCCUCAGAGGCAAGUGUCUGUGUCUGUUAUGGGCACCUGAGGUCAUACCUGGUAAAGAUCAAGUGGGCAGCUGUCCAGUUCAUACCGUGGGCAGAAUUCUAAGAUGGCCCUCAAGUCCCCUUCACACCAGUGUACACAUCCUCUAUAAUCCCCUUCCGUUGAGUAUGGGCAGGAUGAGCGAAUGUGAUGGGACAUCACUCUGAUGAUUAGGUUGCCAUUUGGUUGCUUUUGAGUUAAUAAAAAGAAACGUCAUCCAGGGUGGGUCUGAGCUAGUCAGGUCCGCCCUAUAAAUGAAGCUGAGGCCCCAGACAGACACUGUCCUGUUGGCCUUGAAGGACUGAGCUAUCCGGUGAUGAAAAAGGCCACGUGCCAGGGGACAGCAGGCAACCUCUGGUGACUGAGGGCCUAAGUCCUGUGAUUACGGGAGCUGAACUGUGCCAACAAGAGUGAGCUCAAAGGAGGACCCCACACCUUAGAUGAUAUUGCAGCCCUGAGUGCUAUCUUGGUUUCAGCCUGGUGAGAUCCUGAGCAGAUAACCCAGAUGAGCCGUGCCCAGACUAGAUUCACAGAGCGACAUGAGAAAUAAACAGGCGCUGCUUCAAGUGG
Non-coding RNA from Macaca mulatta (Rhesus monkey), 5182 nucleotides. Lineage: Eukaryota; Metazoa; Chordata; Mammalia; Primates; Cercopithecidae. The record is from RefSeq and is a predicted model, not a curated record.